GACGAACGCUGGCGGCGUGCUUAACACAUGCAAGUCGAACGGAAAGGCCCUGCUUUUGUGGGGUGCUCGAGUGGCGCACGGGUGAGUAACACGUGAGUAACCUGCCCUUGACUUUGGGAUAACUUCAGGAGACUGGGGCUAAUACCGGAUAGGAGCUCCUGCUGCAUGGUGGGGGUUGGAAAGUUUCGGUGGUUGGGGAUGGACUCGCGGCUUAUCGGCUUGUUGGUGGGGUAGUGGCUUACCAAGGCUUUGACGGGUAGCCGGCCUGGGAGGGUGACCGGCCACAUUGGGACUAAGAUACGGCCCAGACUCCUACGUGACGCAGCAGUGGGGAAUAUUGCACAAUGGGCGGAAGCCUGAUGCAGCAACGCCGCGUGCGGGAUGACGGCCUUCGAGUUGUAAACCGCUUUCGCCUGUGACGAAGCGUGAGUGACGGUAAUGAGUAAAGAAGCACCGGCUAACUACGUG
RNAcentral lists this ribosomal RNA (468 nucleotides) under uncultured bacterium. Its description in RNAcentral is "partial 16S ribosomal RNA". It matches the Rfam family "Bacterial small subunit ribosomal RNA", at positions 28 to 507 of the family's 1533-position model. The record is from RNAcentral.